CUGUGUCGCGCGUAUGUGCGCUGCGUGCCUUACUUACUCUAUUAGCUGCCCGCCUCGGGACUACGAGCGCAAGCUUAAAACUCAAAGGAAUUGACGGGGGCCCGCACAAGCAGCGGAGCGUGUGGUUUAAUUCGACGCAAACACGAAGAACCUUACCCUGGGCUUAACAUAAACGCUGCACGCCGUCGAAAGACGGCCGCCUGCGAGGGUGCGUGACAGGUGCUGCAUGGCUGUCGUCAGCUCGUGUCGUGAAGAUGUUGGGUUCAGUCCCGCAACGAGCGCAACCCGCGUCGGUAGUUACCCGUGUCUACCGAGACUGACGCCGUGACCGACGGAGGAAGGCGCGGAUGACGUCAAGUCAGCAUGGGCCUUACGUCCAGGGCGACACACACGCUACAAUGGCCACGACAAUACGUUGCCAAGCCCGCAAGGCGGAGCUAAUCGCUUAAACGUGGUCUCAGUGCAGAUCGGGGGCUGCAACUCGCAAACGUGAAGACGGAGUUGCUAGUAACCGCGUAAGGGCGAAUUCU
This 530-nucleotide ribosomal RNA is filed under the name uncultured bacterium. RNAcentral describes it as "bacterial SSU rRNA". It matches the Rfam family "Bacterial small subunit ribosomal RNA", at positions 820 to 1359 of the family's 1533-position model. The record is from RNAcentral.